RNAcentral lists this ribosomal RNA (618 nucleotides) under Vibrio alginolyticus. Its description in RNAcentral is "bacterial SSU rRNA". It matches the Rfam family "Bacterial small subunit ribosomal RNA", at positions 56 to 655 of the family's 1533-position model. The record is from RNAcentral. Lineage: Bacteria; Pseudomonadati; Pseudomonadota; Gammaproteobacteria; Vibrionales; Vibrionaceae.
UGCAGUCGAGCGGAACGAGUUAUCUGAACCUUCGGGGGACGAUAACGGCGUCGAGCGGCGGACGGGUGAGUAAUGCCUAGGAAAUUGCCCUGAUGUGGGGGAUAACCAUUGGAAACGAUGGCUAAUACCGCAUGAUGCCUACGGGCCAAAGAGGGGGACCUUCGGGCCUCUCGCGUCAGGAUAUGCCUAGGUGGGAUUAGCUAGUUGGUGAGGUAAGGGCUCACCAAGGCGACGAUCCCUAGCUGGUCUGAGAGGAUGAUCAGCCACACUGGAACUGAGACACGGUCCAGACUCCUACGGGAGGCAGCAGUGGGGAAUAUUGCACAAUGGGCGCAAGCCUGAUGCAGCCAUGCCGCGUGUAUGAAGAAGGCCUUCGGGUUGUAAAGUACUUUCAGUCGUGAGGAAGGCGGCGUCGUUAAUAGCGGCGUUGUUUGACGUUAGCGACAGAAGAAGCACCGGCUAACUCCGUGCCAGCAGCCGCGGUAAUACGGAGGGUGCGAGCGUUAAUCGGAAUUACUGGGCGUAAAGCGCAUGCAGGUGGUUUGUUAAGUCAGAUGUGAAAGCCCGGGGCUCAACCUCGGAAUAGCAUUUGAAACUGGCAGACUAGAGUACUGUAGA